UACGGAGGGUGCGAGCGUUAUCCGGAAUUACUGGGUUUAAAGGGUGCGUAGGCGGCCAAGUAAGUCAGGAGUGAAAGUUUGCGGCUCAACCGUAAAAUUGCUUUUGAUACUGCUUAGCUAGAAUCAGGAUGAGGUUAGCGGAAUGUGGCAUGUAGCGGUGAAAUGCAUAGAUAUGCCAUAGAACACCAAUUGCGAAGGCAGCUGGCUAGACCUGUAUUGACGCUGAGGCACGAAAGCGUGGGGGGCGAACGGG
RNAcentral lists this ribosomal RNA (253 nucleotides) under uncultured bacterium. RNAcentral's name for it is "partial 16S ribosomal RNA". It matches the Rfam family "Bacterial small subunit ribosomal RNA", at positions 524 to 776 of the family's 1533-position model. The record is from RNAcentral.